GCCCAGCUUGCUGGGCGGAUUAGUGGCGAACGGGUGAGUAAUACGUGAGUAACCUGCCCUUGACUCUGGGAUAAGCCUGGGAAACUGGGUCUAAUACUGGAUACUACCUCCUGCCGCAUGGUGGGUGGUGGAAAGGGUUUUACUGGUUUUGGAUGGGCUCACGGCCUAUCAGCUUGUUGGUGGGGUAAUGGCUCACCAAGGCGACGACGGGUAGCCGGCCUGAGAGGGUGACCGGCCACACUGGGACUGAGACACGGCCCAGACUCCUACGGGAGGCAGCAGUGGGGAAUAUUGCACAAUGGGCGGAAGCCUGAUGCAGCGACGCCGCGUGAGGGAUGACGGCCUUCGGGUUGUAAACCUCUUUCAGUAGGGAAGAAGCGAGAGUGACGGUACCUGCAGAAGAAGCGCCGGCUAACUACGUGCCAGCAGCCGCGGUAAUACGUAGGGCGCAAGCGUUGUCCGGAAUUAUUGGGCGUAAAGAGCUCGUAGGCGGUUUGUCGCGUCUGCUGUGAAAGCCCGGGGCUCAACCCCGGGUCUGCAGUGGGUACGGGCAGACUAGAGUGCAGUAGGGGAGACUGGAAUUCCUGGUGUAGCGGUGAAAUGCGCAGAUAUCAGGAGGAACACCGAUGGCGAAGGCAGGUCUCUGGGCUGUUACUGACGCUGAGGAGCGAAAGCAUGGGGAGCGAACAGGAUUAGAUACCCCUGGUAGUCCAUGCCCGUAAACGUUGGGCCACU
Molecule: ribosomal RNA, 735 nt
Filed under: bacterium
Lineage: Bacteria
Description: bacterial SSU rRNA
Rfam family: Bacterial small subunit ribosomal RNA
Source: RNAcentral